AGUGAACGCUGGCGGUAGGCCUAACACAUGCAAGUCGAACGGCAGCACAGUAAGAGCUUGCUCUUACGGGUGGCGAGUGGCGGACGGGUGAGGAAUACAUCGGAAUCUACUUUUUCGUGGGGGAUAACGUAGGGAAACUUACGCUAAUACCGCAUACGACCUACGGGUGAAAGCAGGGGAUCUUCGGACCUUGCGCGAUUGAAUGAGCCGAUGUCGGAUUAGCUAGUUGGCGGGGUAAAGGCCCACCAAGGCGACGAUCCGUAGCUGGUCUGAGAGGAUGAUCAGCCACACUGGAACUGAGACACGGUCCAGACUCCUACGGGAGGCAGAAGUGGGGAAUAUUGGACAAUGGGCGAAAGCCUGAUCCGGCCAUACCGCGUGGGUGAAGAAGGCCUUCGGGUUGUAAAGCCCUUUUGUUGGGAAAGAAAAGCAGCAGGUUAAUACCCCGCUGUUCUGACGGUACCCAAAGAAUAAGCACCGGCUAACUUCGUG
Molecule: ribosomal RNA, 492 nt
Filed under: uncultured bacterium
Lineage: Bacteria
Description: partial 16S ribosomal RNA
Rfam family: Bacterial small subunit ribosomal RNA
Source: RNAcentral